Molecule: non-coding RNA, 1046 nt
Organism: Styela clava
Lineage: Eukaryota; Metazoa; Chordata; Ascidiacea; Stolidobranchia; Styelidae
Source: RefSeq, a predicted model, not a curated record
UUAGAUAUUAAGUUAGUGCUUCAUUGACUCUGAAUAUGAAGUUUGGUGCUAAUGUACAACUAUUGUACUUGCUGGUAAUUACAUUACUGAUACUCGUGCAAGCUGUAGAUAUGUUUGCACCCGGAGCAAUAAUACCAUCGGGAUUCAAAAAACAGUCGCAAAUGAAAGAAUAUUGGGAUGAAAUUAUGGAAAAAUAAAGAGGAAUUUUCCGAGGAAUUCUGAAUAUACAUGGAAUCCUACUAUAUCCAAUGCUAUUUAUUCAUCGUAUAUAUACUAGAUCUAACAUAUAUCUACAUCAUAUCUUAUAGGAAUAAAGCUUGAAAAAAAACUGAAUUCUAAUAAUUGUACUUAUGAUUUGUAUGUAUUUGGGAAAUUCGAUGCUCAUAGAGUCACUCGAUAAAAUGCGCAUUUGUGAGAAAUGUUCUAGUCCGAUCAAUGCUUCAAAAAUUCACUUUUUUUUUAAAUUCAAGCGCUGUUCUAUCUUAUAUUAAAAAGAAAACAAAUCAAGUCAGUUUUCAAUUGCAACAUUGCGGAAUUAGGUUAAUUCUACGUACGCCCUCGUGACCCAGGGCAUCGAACCAUAUCUACAGCUUGUAGCAACAUCAGUACUGCAACAAACAAGUACAACAGUCCGGCAUUUGUUGUAGGAUUCAUAUUUCAUAUUUACAAUUUAUAUUCCGCUAUAUUCAUAUAUAGUAAUGAUGGAACUAAAUUAAUUAGGAAAAUAAAAUAAUGAUUUUGAAAACUUGCAUUUUGCAUAAUACUUUGUUUAAGUGAAUGAUUUUAUAUGAAGCUAACAGAGUCUGGCAAAAACGUCAAGAUACUUCUACUUAGGCUUAUACUCGACAACGAAUUAUUUUUGUAAAGUCUGUCAUACAGUUUUUGCUCGACAAAGCGGUACAAAAUAUUUUACGUCUGUCACGAGACAGAUUCUAUCGAAAGAUAUUACUAGUAAUUAAGUCAUUAACCAUUGCACUAAUUUUAAACCACCAAUGCGUUUAUGUCUUUUUACUCCGUUUCAAUAAAGAAUCUCAAAUUUUCUUCUU